This 489-nucleotide ribosomal RNA is filed under the name uncultured bacterium. RNAcentral's name for it is "partial 16S ribosomal RNA". It matches the Rfam family "Bacterial small subunit ribosomal RNA", at positions 30 to 506 of the family's 1533-position model. The record is from RNAcentral.
AUUGAGCGCUGGCGGCAGGCCUAACACAUGCAAGUCGAACGGUAACAGGGAUCAGCUUGCUGAUUCGCUGACGAGUGGCGGACGGGUGAGUAAUGUCUGGGAAACUGCCUGAUGGAGGGGGAUAACUACUGGAAACGGUAGCUAAUACCGCAUAACGUCGCAAGACCAAAGAGGGGGACCUUCGGGCCUCUUGCCAUCGGAUGUGCCCAGAUGGGAUUAGCUAGUAGGUGGGGUAACGGCUCACCUAGGCGACGAUCCCUAGCUGGUCUGAGAGGAUGACCAGCCACACUGGAACUGAGACACGGUCCAGACUCCUACGGGAGGCAGCAGUGGGGAAUAUUGCACAAUGGGCGCAAGCCUGAUGCAGCCAUGCCGCGUGUAUGAAGAAGGCCUUCGGGUUGUAAAGUACUUUCAGCGGGGAGGAAGGGAGUAAAGUUAAUACCUUUGCUCAUUGACGUUACCCGCAGAAGAAGCACCGGCUAACUCCGU